GGUUCGAUUCCGGAGAGGGAGCCUGAGAAACGGCUACCACAUCCAAGGAAGGCAGCAGGCGCGCAAAUUACCCAAUCCCGACACGGGGAGGUAGUGACAAUAAAUAACAAUACGGGGCUCAUUUGGGUCUCGUAAUUGGAAUGAGUACAAUUUAAAUCUCUUAACGAGGAACAAUUGGAGGGCAAGUCUGGUGCCAGCAGCCGCGGUAAUUCCAGCUCCAAUAGCGUAUAUUAAAGUUGUUGCAGUUAAAAAGCUCGUAGUUGAACUUCGGGGUCUACCCAUUGGUCAGGCUUAAUUGUCUGCACUGGUGAGAUGGAUCUCUACCUUCUGAGGAACUUUCAUGCCAUUUAUUUGGUGUGGUUGGAAAUCAGGACUGUUACUUUGAAAAAAUUAGAGUGUUUAAAGCAGACUAUCGUCUGAAUACAUUAGCAUGGAAUAAUGAAAUAGGACGGACUGAUUCUAUUUCGUUGGUUUCUAGGAUCACCGUAAUGAUUAAUAGGGAUAGUUGGGGGCAUUAGUAUUCAAUUGUCAGAGGUGAAAUUCUUGGAUUUAUUGAAGACUAACUACUGCGAAAGCAUUUGCCAAGGAUGUUUUCAUUAAUCAAGAACGAAAGUUAGGGGAUCGAAGACGAUCAGAUACCG
RNAcentral lists this ribosomal RNA (641 nucleotides) under uncultured Glomeromycotina. RNAcentral's name for it is "SSU rRNA". It matches the Rfam family "Eukaryotic small subunit ribosomal RNA", at positions 374 to 1017 of the family's 1831-position model. The record is from RNAcentral. Lineage: Eukaryota; Fungi; Glomeromycota.